UUGCUUCCUGCCUGGCAGAAGCCUGAUGCACCUUGUGUACUUCCUCACCUUUUGCACCAUUUUACACUUGGCAUUGAGAGUUGGUCUGGGGGAAAAGACACUUAGUGGAGCUUUGGACUCUCAAGGCAGCGAGGCCAACAGCAGCUCAUAGUUGUCUUGUGCUCACCAGAUGGAGAGGAUGGGGCCCUCAGUAAAAUGGGAGCUGUGGGAUCUGUCACAGCUGUCUGCCACUUCUAAGAUGAUGAUAGAGAAUGUGUGUCAGUGCAUGAACUUCUCCCAGUGAAUCAGGGGGAGGAGGAUGCCCAGCCUCCUGCUCUACAAGUGGCAGUUCCUAUUCCGGCAAAAGGCGAGUUUCCACCUGAUGUUAACCCUGUAGAGCCAGUGAGACAGCUGCACAAAUUGGACCUAAUGCUGCAGGCCUUUGAGCUGUUGCAGACUUCAGUGCUGCUAGCCCCCAGCCAUGAGGAGGGUUGUCUGGGGGAUACAAUCAGGACAGUAGGAUCUCUGAUGUGCAUCCAGCCCCCAAACGGACAAAAGGACACCUCCUCUGGGUCUGCGGUCUGGGGAUCAGGACAGCAUCUGGGUAUGGUGCAGAGCAAUGGGUGCAUUUCCUGCCUUGUCUGGUACCUCUUCUGCUCCUUGACCCCUGUCAUGUCUGGGCCAGCGCAGAGCAUUCUCACAGACCAGGAAGUUGCUGCUUUUUUCUUCUCUGAACACAGGCUAUGGGUGAAACUUGCUGUUUCACUUGUAUUUGGCAAGGGGAUCCUGGCUUCAGCAGUGAGCACGGCUUUGUGCAGGAGAUCCUACAGCACAGGCUCCUGCUCUGCUCCAGACACAUGGUAACUGGUAAGCUUUGAUUUCUUAACUAUAGUGUCUCAGUGCAAAACUUCCAGAUCAUAUUUAAAGCGAUGCUGAUUAUUAAGAGCUGCACUCUUUCUUGACAUUGCUGCUACCUUGCUUUUUGCUGUCUUAGGUGAAAAGCAAGCUCUAAUAAUUUCCCUCUGUUCUUCAGAUUUUAAGCGGUAUUAUGUUAUCUGUGCUUUAGCUUAAAUGCUUAUAUUCCCUGUUGCUGGAGAUCUUCUUGCUUUCCCCUUCCUUCUGCCCCCUCAGCCCUAUUUAGACAAUCCCCAAAUGCAUGGCUUUUGAAAGUGCUGUUAAUACCUCUCACUCCACUGUUUAUGAUGCUGGGCAGUGGUGCAUUCAGAUUAUCACAGCACGGGUAAAAUAAUACCCACUUCUUCGCUUACAUCCUAUUACCGCACCUCAGAGAGCCCUCUCACUUAGAUUACUCAGGGGAAAUUCAAUGACAUACAGCCUUUUGAUUUGAAAUAUAAACUGUUGUGCAGAGAUUUAAAAGAUACCCUAAUUUAUUUGGAAACGACCAGGAGUGUGCUGGAACUCUUUUGAUUGCCAUGCUUUAUUAGACCGUGAUUUUUUCCAUCUAGCUUCUAUUCCCAAAACCUACAGAACGAUCGUGAUUUACUUUGGACAUCUGUUAAAUUCUGGGCUGCCUGGGGAACAAAGCAAGGGAGCUGCAUUCCUGGUGGGAAUAUGGGAGAAUAGUGGAACCGGCUGUGUUCUCCCAGCUUUGUGAUUCCUCUAGCUUGCAUGUUUUUUGCAUGUAAAUGUGUGCAUAUCUAGACAUGUAAUGGUAAACUGCUAUUAUUAAAUAUAUGAAGACCACCUCAAGCCUUUCCCUGAAGAGCAAAGCCUAUCAGGUUGUUGCUUUGCUUUUCCCACCCAGAACAAAUCAGGAGCACGGAUGGGAGCAGUGACAGGGUGCUGGGACCUGUUUGGUUCCCCACCCGCUGCUGCUGAGAUAUUUCUGUUUUCAGCUGUCACUACCAGUGUAUUCUCAGUUCUCCCCUCCACCCCCAGCUGCAACCAGCACUGAGAAGGCUGCCCAAUUCUCUCCUAGCAGUUGAAGCAAACCCUGCUGCAUUUCUGCUUCCUCCUGCAGGACAGAUUUACUCACUGUGGUUACCCUGUGGUUGCCACACGUUAGUUACAUUAAAGGCAACUGCGCCCUAAUCUAAUGAAACAGAAAUUCACCAGACGUAUAAAAACAUUCUGUUGUUCUCCUCUAUUCAUGAACACUUCCUGUGCUCCCCCUCACUAAUUUCGGGAAUAAGGUCAGCCUGUUGGAAGGGAGCUUUCAAAGUCUGUCAGGUUAAAAUAUAUCCACCCUGGUUGGAUUGCAGCGGCUGCAGUAACCAGGAGCACGAGGGUGAUAUUCCUGUUUGAAGAGCAACGAUAGGUAUUUGUCUGCAGUAAGAGUCAGUAUCUGGGGUUCCUAAUUGUUCGAAGGCGUUGCGGAAGGCACACUGAGUCAAUAAAGGCUUUACCUGAGUAAAGGUGACUGAAGUG
This 2367-nucleotide long non-coding RNA is filed under the name Anas platyrhynchos platyrhynchos (common mallard). Its description in RNAcentral is "lncRNA (ENSAPLG00000023216.1)". The record is from RNAcentral. Lineage: Eukaryota; Metazoa; Chordata; Aves; Anseriformes; Anatidae.